ACGGGAGGCAGCAGUGGGGAAUAUUGCACAAUGGGGGAAACCCUGAUGCAGCGACGCCGCGUGAGUGAAGAAGUAUUUCGGUAUGUAAAGCUCUAUCAGCAGGGAAGAAAAUGACGGUACCUGACUAAGAAGCCCCGGCUAACUACGUGCCAGCAGCCGCGGUAAUACGUAGGGGGCGAGCGUUGUCCGGAAUUACUGGGCGUAAAGAGUACGUAGGCGGUCCUGUAAGCGCAUGGUGAAAGGCAUAGGCUCAACCAAUGUGAGCCGUGCGAACUGCAGGACUUGAGUGCAGGAGAGGAAAGCGGAAUUCCUGGUGUAGCGGUGAAAUGCGUAGAUAUCAGGAGGAACACCGGUGGCGAAGGCGGCUUUCUGGACUGUAACUGACGCUGAGGUACGAAAGCGUGGGGAGCAAACAGGAUUAGAUACCCUGGUA
This 433-nucleotide ribosomal RNA is filed under the name uncultured Clostridium sp. RNAcentral describes it as "partial 16S ribosomal RNA". It matches the Rfam family "Bacterial small subunit ribosomal RNA", at positions 341 to 792 of the family's 1533-position model. Lineage: Bacteria; Bacillati; Bacillota; Clostridia; Eubacteriales; Clostridiaceae. The record is from RNAcentral.